RNAcentral lists this ribosomal RNA (489 nucleotides) under uncultured bacterium. RNAcentral's name for it is "partial 16S ribosomal RNA". It matches the Rfam family "Bacterial small subunit ribosomal RNA", at positions 30 to 507 of the family's 1533-position model. The record is from RNAcentral.
AUUGAACGCUGGCGGCAGGCCUAACACAUGCAAGUCGAACGGUAACAGGAAGAAGCUUGCUUCUUUGCUGACGAGUGGCGGACGGGUGAGUAAUGUCUGGGAAACUGCCUGAUGGAGGGGGAUAACUACUGGAAACGGUAGCUAAUACCGCAUAACGUCGCAAGACCAAAAAGGGGGACCUUCGGGCCUCUUGCCAUCGGAUGUGCCCAGAUGGGAUUCGCUAGUAGGUGGGGUAACGGCUCACCUAGGCGACGAUCCCUAGCUGGUCUGAGAGGAUGACCAGCCACACUGGAACUGAGACACGGUCCAGACUCCUACGGGAGGCAGCAGUGGGAAUAUUGCACAAUGGGCGCAAGCCUGAUGCAGCCAUGCCGCGUGUAUGAAGAAGGCCUUCGGGUUGUAAAGUACUUUCAGCGGGGAGGAAGGGAGUAAAGUUAAUACCUUUGCUCAUUGACGUUACCCGCAGAAGAAGCACCGGCUAACUCCGUG